RNAcentral lists this signal recognition particle RNA (97 nucleotides) under Planctomycetaceae bacterium. Its description in RNAcentral is "signal recognition particle sRNA small type". It matches the Rfam family "Bacterial small signal recognition particle RNA". From Rfam's summary of the family: The signal recognition particle (SRP) is a universally conserved ribonucleoprotein involved in the co-translational targeting of proteins to membranes. Archaeal SRP consists of a 7S RNA and homologues of the eukaryotic SRP19 and SRP54 proteins. Lineage: Bacteria; Pseudomonadati; Planctomycetota; Planctomycetia; Planctomycetales; Planctomycetaceae. The record is from RNAcentral.
GAAGAGGGAUCCGGCGGUGAGAGACCGUGAAUCUGGUCAGGUGGGAAACCAAGCAGCCAUAAACGUUACCUUUCAGGUGUUCGGGUCUCUCUUCGAC